GACGAACGCUGGCGGCGUGCCUAAUACAUGCAAGUCGAGCGCAGGAAAUCGACGGAACCCUUCGGGGGGAAGUCGACGGAAUGAGCGGCGGACGGGUGAGUAACACGUAAAGAACCUGCCCUCAGGUCUGGGAUAACCACGAGAAAUCGGGGCUAAUACCGGAUGGGCCAUCGGACCGCAUGGUCCGAGGAUGAAAGGCGCUUCGGCGUCGCCUGGGGAUGGCUUUGCGGUGCAUUAGCUAGUUGGUGGGGUAAUGGCCCACCAAGGCGACGAUGCAUAGCGGACCUGAGAGGGUGAUCGGCCACACUGGGACUGAGACACGGCCCAGACUCCUACGGGAGGCAGCAGUAGGGAAUCUUCCACAAUGGACGAAAGUCUGAUGGAGCAACGCCGCGUGAACGAUGAAGGCCUUCGGGUCGUAAAGUUCUGUUGUAAGGGAAGAACAAGUGCCGCAGGCAAUGGCGGCACCUUGACGGUACCUUGCGAGAAAGCCACGGCUAACUACGUGCCAGCCGCCGCAGUAA
RNAcentral lists this ribosomal RNA (524 nucleotides) under uncultured bacterium. Its description in RNAcentral is "partial 16S ribosomal RNA". It matches the Rfam family "Bacterial small subunit ribosomal RNA", at positions 28 to 523 of the family's 1533-position model. The record is from RNAcentral.